This 334-nucleotide ribosomal RNA is filed under the name uncultured bacterium. RNAcentral's name for it is "bacterial SSU rRNA". It matches the Rfam family "Bacterial small subunit ribosomal RNA", at positions 195 to 507 of the family's 1533-position model. The record is from RNAcentral.
UACGGAGCAAAGCGGGCCUCUUCUUGAAAGCUCGCGCUUUGAGAUAAGCCUACGUCGGAUUAGCUAGUUGGUAGGGUAAUGGCCUACCAAGGCGACGAUCCGUAGCUGGUUUGAGAGGAUGAUCAGCCACACUGGGACUGAGACACGGCCCAGACUCCUACGGGAGGCAGCAGUGGGGAAUAUUGGACAAUGGGCGAAAGCCUGAUCCAGCAAUGCCGCGGUGUGUGAAGAAGGCCUGCGGGUUGUAAAGCACUUUUAUCGGGAAAGAAAAACCUGGGGUUAAUACCCCCGGGCCUUGACGGUACCCGAGGAAUAAGCACCGGCUAACUCAGUG